GACGAACGCUGGCGGCGUGCUUAACACAUGCAAGUCGAACGGAAAGGCCCUGCUUUUGUGGGGUGCUCGAGUGGCGAACGGGUGAGUAACACGUGAGUAACCUGCCCUUGACUUUGGGAUAACUUCAGGAAACUGGGGCUAAUACCGGAUAGGAGCUCCUGCUGCAUGGUGGGGGUUGGAAAGUUUCGGCGGUUGGGGAUGGACUCGCGGCUUAUCAGCUUGUUGGUGGGGUAGUGGCUUACCAAGGCUUUGACGGGUAGCCGGCCUGAGAGGGUGACCGGCCACAUUGGGACUGAGAUACGGCCCAGACUCCUACGGGAGGCAGCAGUGGGGAAUAUUGCACAAUGGGCGGAAGCCUGAUGCAGCAACGCCGCAUGCGGGAUGACGGCCUUCGGGUUGUAAACCGCUUUCGCCUGUGACGAAGCGUGAGUGACGGUAAUGGGUAAAGAAGCACCGGCUAACUACGUGCCAGCAGCCGCGGUGAUACGUAGGGUGCGAGCGUUGUCCGGAUUUAUUGGGCGUAAAGGGCUCGUAGGUGGUUGAUCGCGUCGGAAGUGUAAUCUUGGGGCUUAACCCUGAGCGUGCUUUCGAUACGGGUUGACUUGAGGAAGGUAGGGGAGAAUGGAAUUCCUGGUGGAGCGGUGGAAUGCGCAGAUAUCAGGAGGAACACCAGUGGCGAAGGCGGUUCUCUGGGCCUUUCCCGACGCUGAGGAGCGAAAGCGUGGGGAGCGAACAGGCUUAGAUACCCUGGUAGUCCACGCUGUAAACGGUGGGUACUAGGUGUGGGGUCCAUUCCACGGGUUCCGUGCCGUAGCUAACGCUUUAAGUACCCCGCCUGGGGAGUACGGCCGCAAGGCUAAAACUCAAAGGAAUUGACGGGGCCCCGCACAAGCGGCGGAGCAUGCGGAUUAAUUCGAUGCAACGCGUAGAACCUUACCUGGGUUUGACAUGGAUCGGGAGCGCUCAGAGAUGGGUGUGCCUCUUUUGGGGUCGGUUCACAGGUGGUGCAUGGCUGUCGUCAGCUCGUGUCGUGAGAUGUGGGGUUAAGUCCCGCAACGAGCGCAACCCUUGUUCACUGUUGCCAGCACGUUAUGGUGGGGACUCAGUGGAGACCGCCGGGGUCAACUCGGAGGAAGGUGGGGAUGACGUCAAGUCAUCAUGCCCCUUAUGUCCAGGGCUUCACGCAUGCUACAAUGGCUGGUACAGAGAGUGGCGAGCCUGUGAGGGUGAGCGAAUCUCGGAAAGCCGGUCUCAGUUCGGAUUGGGGUCUGCAACUCGACCUCAUGAAGUCGGAGUCGCUAGUAAUCGCAGAUCAGCAACGCUGCGGUGAAUACGUUCCCGGGGCU
This 1346-nucleotide ribosomal RNA is filed under the name uncultured bacterium. RNAcentral's name for it is "bacterial SSU rRNA". It matches the Rfam family "Bacterial small subunit ribosomal RNA", at positions 28 to 1381 of the family's 1533-position model. The record is from RNAcentral.